AUAUGAAUAUUUAUUUCCCUUAUCUAUUUAACAGUUCAGUAGCUGGCUGGGGCUUGUCCGCAGUACGGUUGGUUCACUUUCUGCAGGCUGCAACCGCCAGCCGGCCCUAUAUUGUUGACCAUUCGAAAUAAACUACAAUUUCCGGUUUUGCAUUAUCCGUUCCAUUCUGCUGUUGCGACUCCGACUCACAUGGGGUUCACGUGCACGUGUGUGUCGCGUCUAAGUUGUUUGUUUGGUCAGAACCUCAAACGUCACCCUUGACUGCCAUUACGCAGAUCGAGCAACAGUAAUUGAUGACUAUCCUAACAGUGCAAAUUUCGCACCGAUAUUUGGAGACACUCGAAUAAACAGAACCCAGAUUUAAACAACACCCACAGUAAACAGUCGAACCCGCAAUAAUCUUGGCGUGUCAAGGGUUUAUUUGUGAUACGUUUGUUUGUUCUGGAGUCACAGCAUCGCCGUCGCCGCACCGCCCGGUUAGGGUAUGUGAUUCCUGUGUCAGCCUCGCGUGCAAUUCGCCAAAGGCGUGCUUCCUUUACCUAACGUUGAAAGCCGGAGCAAUGGCAAUAGCGAGCCAGGAAACAACAAAUGCCAAGGAAAGAUUGAAAGGAUUUGAAUAAUAUAAUCUGCAAAGCUGUUGUAACACCAUCGUCUCGAUCAAACCAGUCAGUCGGGAAAAUAGUUUCAGGAAGUUAUGAGCUUACCAUUCAUAUCACGUCGCACUGAAGCAAGUGGAGCUACAUGGUGUUUUGUGAGCAGAUUAUACAGUACCGAGGCAGCAAUUUAAUAAAUUUGCUUUAAACUUUAAAA
Molecule: long non-coding RNA, 810 nt
Organism: Sabethes cyaneus
Lineage: Eukaryota; Metazoa; Arthropoda; Insecta; Diptera; Culicidae
Exons: 2
Source: RefSeq, a predicted model, not a curated record